AGUGAACGCUGGCGGUAGGCCUAACACAUGCAAGUCGAACGGCAGCACAGUAAGAGCUUGCUCUUACGGGUGGCGAGUGGCGGACGGGUGAGGAAUACAUCGGAAUCUACUUUUUCGUGGGGGAUAACGUAGGGAAACUUACGCUAAUGCCGCAUACGACCUACGGGUGAAAGCAGGGGAUCUUCGGACCUUGCGCGAUUGAAUGAGCCGAUGUCGGAUUAGCUAGUUGGCGGGGUAAAGGCCCACCACGGCGACGAUCCGUAGCUGGUCUGAGAGGAUGAUCAGCCACACUGGAACUGAGACACGGUCCAGACUCCUACGGGAGGCAGCAGUGGGGAAUAUUGGACAAUGGGCGCAAGCCUGAUCCAGCCAUACCGCGUGGGUGAAGAAGGCCUUCGGGUUGUAAAGCCCUUUUGUUGGGAAAGAAAAGCAGCAGGUUAAUACCCCGCUGUUCUGACGGUACCCAAAGAAUAAGCACCGGCUAACUUCGUG
Molecule: ribosomal RNA, 492 nt
Filed under: uncultured bacterium
Lineage: Bacteria
Description: partial 16S ribosomal RNA
Rfam family: Bacterial small subunit ribosomal RNA
Source: RNAcentral